RNAcentral lists this ribosomal RNA (758 nucleotides) under Microbacterium trichothecenolyticum. Its description in RNAcentral is "bacterial SSU rRNA". It matches the Rfam family "Bacterial small subunit ribosomal RNA", at positions 701 to 1450 of the family's 1533-position model. Lineage: Bacteria; Bacillati; Actinomycetota; Actinomycetes; Micrococcales; Microbacteriaceae. The record is from RNAcentral.
GGAAACACCCGAUGGCGAAAGGCAGAUCUCUGGGCCGUAAACUGACGCUUGAGGAGCGAAAGGGUGGGGAGCAAACAGGCUUUAGAUACCCUGGUAGUCCACCCCGUAAACGUUGGGAACUAGUUGUGGGGACCAUUCCACGGUUUCCGUGACGCAGCUAACGCAUUAAGUUCCCCGCCUGGGGAGUACGGCCGCAAGGCUAAAACUCAAAGGAAUUGACGGGGACCCGCACAAGCGGCGGAGCAUGCGGAUUAAUUCGAUGCAACGCGAAGAACCUUACCAAGGCUUGACAUACACCAGAACACCGUAGAAAUACGGGACUCUUUGGACACUGGUGAACAGGUGGUGCAUGGUUGUCGUCAGCUCGUGUCGUGAGAUGUUGGGUUAAGUCCCGCAACGAGCGCAACCCUCGUUCUAUGUUGCCAGCACGUAAUGGUGGGAACUCAUGGGAUACUGCCGGGGUCAACUCGGAGGAAGGUGGGGAUGACGUCAAAUCAUCAUGCCCCUUAUGUCUUGGGCUUCACGCAUGCUACAAUGGCCGGUACAAAGGGCUGCAAUACCGUGAGGUGGAGCGAAUCCCAAAAAGCCGGUCCCAGUUCGGAUUGAGGUCUGCAACUCGACCUCAUGAAGUCGGAGUCGCUAGUAAUCGCAGAUCAGCAACGCUGCGGUGAAUACGUUCCCGGGUCUUGUACACACCGCCCGUCAAGUGCAUGAAAGUCGGUAACACCUGAAGCCGGUGGCCCAACCCUUGUGGAGGG